AUUUAAGAUUUAACAAUAUCGGAUACGUCAGAUUCUGAAUGACAGCGAAGAAUGGAUUAUUAUUACAUAAAUUCAUAGUGUAAUGAAGCGCACCCUGGGAACUGAAACAUCUUAGUACCAGGAGGAAAAGAAAACAAUAGUGAUUCCGCAAGUAGUGGCGAGCGAACGCGGAAAAGCCUAAACCGCAUUCUUCACUAACGUUCAGAAUGAAUUUUUAAUUUCCAAUUUUUAAUUUUUAAAUAAUUUCUAAUGCUUAAAUUUUUAAACAUUAAAAAUUAAGAUUUAUUUUAAAAAUUAUAAAAUUAAAAAUUUAAAAAUUCGGAGCGUGAGCGAAGAAUGUGGUGUUGCGAGGUAAUCAUACUCGUUUAAUCGGGGUUUAUAAAAUUUUCUUAAUGGAAUGUCCCUGGAAAGGGCAAUCAGAGAGGGUGACAAUCCCGUACAUGAAAGGAAAAUUUUAUGGAUGAGGUUAUUCUCAAGUAAGGCGGGACCGGAGAAAUCCCGUCUGAAACCGGGAGCACUAAACUUCCAAGGCUAAAUAUUACAUAAGAUCGAUAGCGAACUAGUACCGUGAGGGAAAGGUGAAAAGCAUCCCGAUGAGGGAGUUGAAAUAAAACCUGAAACCAUAUGCUAACGAAGAGUCAGAGCCCCCAUUCUUCACUAACGUUCAGAAUGAAUUUUUAAUUUCCAAUUUUUAAUUUUUAAAUAAUUUCUAAUGAUUAAAUUUUUAAACAUUAAAAAUUAAAAUUUAUUUUAAAAAUUAUAAAAUUAAAAAUUUAAAAAUUCCGAGCGGUAGCGAAGGAUGGAGGUGAUGGCGUGCUUUUUGCAGAACGAGCCAACGAGUUAGUUCUAUGCGGCAAGCAUAAACCGCUUACGCGGGAUAUGCGCAGUGAAAGCGAGCCUUAACCGGCUACCAGUCGUAUGGACUAGACCCGAAGCCAGGCGAGCUACGUAUGAGCAGGGUGAACCCCGGGUAAAACCGGGGGGAGGCCCGCACCCACCAGCCGUUCGACUCUGGGGGAUGACUUGUGCGUAGAGGAGAAAUUCCAAUCGAGCUUGGCAAUAGCUGGUUCUCUCCGAAAUAGCUUGAGGGCUAGCGUCCUCCCAAUGAGCGCAAGAGGUAGAGCUACUGAAUGAGAAUUCGCGGUUCGCCGUAGAGUUUUCAACCAAACUCCGAAUUCUUGCGUUUCUUACGAGGGCAGUCAGAAAUCCGGCGCUAAGGUCGGAUCUCAAAAGGGAAAAAGCCCAGAUCAUCAUCUAAGGCCCCUAAAUCCAUGUUAAGUGACAUCAAGGAAGUGAAGUUUCUCAUACACCUAGGAGGUUGGCUUAGAAGCAGCCAUCCUUUAAAGAGUGCGUAACAGCUCACUAGUCUAGAGACUUCGCGCCGAAAAUUCAACGGGUCUAAACAUGGUGCCGAAGAUAUGGGCCGCAUUCUUCACUAAUGUUCAGAAUUAAUUUUUAAUUUCCAAUUUUUAAUUUUUAAAUAAUUUCCAAUGUUUAAAUUUUUAAACAUUAAAAAUUAAGAUUUAUUUUAAAAAUUAUAAAAUUAAAAAUUUAAAAAUUCCGAGCGAUAGCGAAGGAUGCGGCGGUAGGAGAGCAUUCUUUGCGCUGCGAAGCGGAAGGCGCGAGCCACCGUGGAGCGCAAAGAAGUGAGAAUGUUGGCAUGAGUAACCGCAAUGCGGGUGAGAACCCCGCACACCGAAAGUCCAAGGUUUCCUGGGCAAUGGCGAUCAUCCCAGGGUUAGGCGGUCCUAAGGCGAGGCCGAAAGGCGUAGUCGAUGGACAGCCGGUUAAUAUUCCGGCCCAACUAUUAGCUUGUAAAUGAGGUGACGUGUUCUAGUAAUCCUUGCGAUUUAUUGGAUUAUCGUACUGGCAUUGAGGAUGUUUCGCAGGAAAAUCCGCGAGACACCAAUCCAAGAUGCCAGUGGAAUUCCGCCUCGGCGGGAGAACAAAGACGAGCAGGGCACCAGGAAAAACCUCUAUGUCGUUCACAUCACACUGCGUGUGAUGUUCACGACUAACUAACAACCGAUAACCAACAACUGACAACAAUUUAAAAAAGUUGUAAGUUGUGAGUGGUAAGUUGUGGGUUAGCGAAACAUUGCGCGAAGCGCGAUGUGAGCGAAUCUAAUAGUUUCCGUACUUAAAACCGACACAGGUGGACUGGUCGAGCAGACCAAGGUGAACGGGAGAACCUUCGUUAAGGAACUCGGCAAAAAAACUAGACGUAAGUUAGCGAGAUGUCUUGCCAGCCGUAAGGCUGGCCGCAGCUAAAGUUUUCCAAGCGACUGUUUAUCAAAAACACAGGUCUCUGCCAACCCGUAAGGGGAAGUAUAGGGGCUGACGCCUGACCAGUGCUGGAACGUUAACGGGAGCGGUGCAAGCCAAUCCCCGAAGCGCCAGUGAACGUCGGCGAUAACUAUAAUUGACGAUUGUAGUUAUAAAAUUUGGCUAUUUGCUGGAAAAUCCGGAGUAAAAAAUGUACUCGCUUCAAAAUAAAAGGAGCAGUAAAAAUCAUUUUCUGUGUCUUGAGUGA
This is a non-coding RNA of Candidatus Roizmanbacteria bacterium, 2533 nucleotides long. NCBI's taxonomy places the organism in Bacteria, Candidatus Roizmaniibacteriota. The record is from Rfam.